This 6597-nucleotide long non-coding RNA is filed under the name Sus scrofa (pig). RNAcentral describes it as "lncRNA (ENSSSCG00015077159.1)". The record is from RNAcentral. Lineage: Eukaryota; Metazoa; Chordata; Mammalia; Artiodactyla; Suidae.
UACUUUCUUUCUUUUUUUCUUUUUUUCUUUUUGUCCUUUUUAGGGCCAGCCCCACAGCAUAUGGAGGUUCCUAGGCUAGGGGUUGAAUCGGGGCUGCAGCUGCCAGCUUACACCACAUCCACAGCAACACCAGAUCUGAGCCGCGUCUGCAACCUAUGCCACAGCUCAUGGCAAUCCCGGAUCCUUACCCACUGAGGGAGGCCAGGGAUCAAACCUACGUCCUCAUGGAUACUAGUUGGGUUCAUUACUGUUGAACCAUGAUAGGAAGGAACUCCCAACCUCUGACUACUUUCAACUCCUAAUCAACAGACUUGGUUCUGGGGAGUCACUCUGUGCCUUGAACCCUGUCUCUUACCCCCAGCGUUGUCUGUUUAGAUAUCUGAGGUUUCUAGAAGUCUUGCCGGAGGAUGAAUGGGGUGUCGCUGGAGCAGGUGUCAUGUGUAAGUAAUCCUGUUCUCACCGUAUUUGAAUGUGAACUUCAUCCUGGGCUACACGCUGCUGGAUAAUAAAUCUCGGGGCCUGACACUUGUGGAGGUCUGAGGGAAUGAAGCUGCUGCAAGAUAAAAAGUGUUUCGUGCAAAGAGAUGAACCAAUGUCAGAAUAAAAAGUUCAUCAACGAAUAUGUUAGAGGCAAAAAAAAAAAAAUCUGUCCAAACAAACAGGCUUCAUGGCUGUGUACAGUGAAAGCAAUUUUUAAAAAGCACCAACCACUCUCUUUUUCUCCCUGUUUUUCAGUGCAUGUACUAGAUUUAUCAUUCCAGUGGCAUAUCUACAUGGAUUGCAGAGUGUUCUUUGCUUCAUCUUUCCAAAGGAUUUCAGUUAUUCAGAUUUAAAAUAACCAGGGAAUUCAAAAGGAGUAAAAAAUAUUCCAAAAACGAUGUGUGUGAUAAUCUUAAAACAGAAAGCCAUAACUUGUAUGGCUCCCUUUAUUUUUAUGAAAUGCUUUUCUAUACAUUAGUUCAUCUUUAUCAUGGGCAUCAAAGGAAGGUCCAAUAAGGUGUGAAGAGCAUGAGACUAGUUCAGGUCUGUGCAGAUUGGAUUACACACCCCUUCUUUCUAAGUUUUAAUUUUCACAUGGCAACCAAACAUUUCAUGAGUCUACAGGAAAACAAAAUAAACUCAUUAUGAGGAAAACACUACAUUCCUCCUUAUAAAACUCCCUUAGAAAAAUUGUUCUUUUCCAAAUAUUGGCUCUGGAAAAUUUCCUUCAAGACUGAUGAAGUCUCAUUUCUUUCAGGUACCCCCACCCUAUACGGACCCCUUUCCCAUUGUUUGGACAUGCAUCCUUCCUUCUGCUCCAGAUGCACCCUCCUUGGCCAGCAUCCCGGCACUGCCACUUUCUAUCUCUCUGCCUUUGGACCACAAGCUCCUGGAGGGCAAUGCCAAUGUCUUGUUUUAUCUCCUCUGUUCUUACUCAGCACAGGGCAAGGCACAUGGAAAGGAUUUGGUAUGUUCGGAAUGAAUGGAAAAUCCACAGGCAACAGGUACCUUAUGGAAAGUGUGAGAGUGAACUGAAUACCUGCUGUAAAGAAUAUUCUGAAGCAAUAAGAUGAAUAUAGCUUUUGUCGUUUAUGAAGUCAAAUUCAAACGGGACAGAGGAGAGGAGGCAGGAGAAAGAGGCUCCUGUUGGGAAAAGGACAAUUACAAGGACUUCCAGUGUAGGGAAGCUGGGUGGACACAAGCUCCAACGGACUUAACCCGCUCUUCCAGCUUCAGAAAUCCUGCGGAUAGACAGCUAUGAAGUAGAAUGAGCAGACAGUGCUGAGUCAAUGCCAGUUAUCAGAAAGCAAAUGAAUGGCUUCGUUCUGACGUCACAUACCCAGGCAGGCAGUUAAAGGUCAUAGUAAAGCCUCUUCUCCAAGUCCUGUGAAGUGCUAGAGUAUGAACCAGCACUUUCAGUCCACAUGUAAACUGGGAGAAGCUUGUACCUUUAAGAAAAUCAGUCAUGUUUCACCUCCAAACCUUGUGGUUCUGGGAAGAGCCCUAGAGCAUUCUGGUGGCUCCAAAUGAAAGUAAAUCAACCAAAAGAAAGUAAAUACAAUUAAAAUCUUUGCUAUGAUUGAGGAACAUCAUUUGUAACUCUCAGGAGACUGCACCUAAUAACAGAUAUCUAUAUGUUAUGUUGUAACAUUAACUGAUUUUUUGUUUGUUUUUUUGCUUUUUAGGGCCACACCCAUGGCACAUGGAGGUUCCCAGGCUAGGGACCGAAAAGGAGCUAUAGCUGCUGGCCUACACCACAGCCACAGCAACAUAGGAUCCGAGCCACAUCUGCACCCUACACCACAGCUCACUGGCAAUGUGGGAUCCUUAAGCCACUGAGCGAGGCCAGGGAUCGAACCUGCGUCCUCAUGGAUGCUAGUCAGAUUCGUUAGCUGCUGAGCCAUGAUGGAAAUGCCCUGUAACAUUAACUGAUUUUUAAAGCAAUACUAUAUACAUGCUAUUCCACAUUUUAUAUUCUAGUAGUGGGAAAGUGAAGGUACAAUCCAAAUAAGAAAAAGUCAUGAAAACACGACAUAAAAGAAGAUAAUUAAUUAGCAUGAACAUAAUGAAGUUUGUUUUAAACAACAAAUAGAACCAAAGCAAACAGGAAACACAAAUAUCAGUGACAUUAAACACCAAAAAGAAAGAGGGGUAGGUUAACCCUCUGUGACGGGCUUACUGCUGGCUGAGGCAGGAAGAGGUUUAAAGGAGAUUAAGAAAGAUAAACAAGAAGCAGUCUGUUUAGCUUCUCUUUAUUUGGCUGCAUGCAUCCAGCCAGGCAGAAGGUCUGUUUUUGAACUACUGGGCUCACGUACCUCCAACAAAGCCAGGAGGACAGGCGACCAGGCCAUGCUUCCUCUAGAACCCGAUGGAUGGAGGGCCCCGGACCCCACUAUUCCUGCCCCACCCCCACCAGUGAACACGGAAGGCAAAUCACCACCAUCAGACUCAUCUGAUGGUCUUGGAUCUUCUACCUGCGUAUAUAAAAAAUCAAUCUACAGACAAAAAUUUUUUGGACCUGUUAUCUUGACUAAGCGCUGUUUAUUCUCAAAAUCAUGGAACUUCAGAGAUUGGACAUUAAAGGUCCCCUGUCCAUCCAUCGCCUCACCAUCUGGCCUAUUAUCACCUCUCCUGACAAGGACCUCCUUUCUUCCUGAAGGAGUUGUUACCAUCCUUGAGCAGCUCUGAUUACUAGCAAAGUUCUUCCUUAGAUUGAGCUAAAAUUUGUCUUUCUGAAAUAGUCACCUCUGGCCCCUGGGGAGAGAAUAAAUCUCAACCAUCUACAAUAUGAGGACCUUUCAAAUAUUAGAAAAUGCUGAGUCUUCUCUACUUCAGGCUAAAUAUACUUAGUUCUUUCAUCCUUUCAUCAUAUGAUUCUAAGCUUUCUCACCGUCAUGGUUACUUUUCUCUGAGCUCAAUCCAGUUUUUCUAGCUCUCUCUUAAAGUGCGGUAUUUACCGGACAUACGCCCCAUAAUGUGGUUUGACAAGCACCAGGCACAGAGACUCAUCCCACCUUUUGAAGAGUCCCCUACACUUCCAUCAGGCAGCUACAGACCAAAAGGAGUUCUUGCUACAUCUGCUCAGCAUCUCUGAUGGGUCAGGCACUUUUCAGGCAUUGAGUGAAAUUCCGAGAACAAGCCUAUGUGUAGGGACUGCCAUCAUUCCUAUUUUACACCUAAGGGCCCGAAGACAGAGAGAGGCUAAGUAACGUAUUUAAAGUCACAUGGUCACUGGCAAACCUGACAUUGAUUUGCUGAUACACUUCAUGUUGUUAGAUUCUGUUCAACAUUCCAAACUGUGAAGUCCUUCCUUCAAUGUACUGUAUUCAUUAUUCUUCCCAGCCCCGUGCCAUGUCCAGCUUGAUAAAUGUGCCCUUUAUAACUUUAUCCAAGUCAUUCAUAAAAUGGACCAGCACAGAACUAUGGCUGAGUUGCUUAACGACUCUUGGCUCCUCUUUUUUUUUUCAAUGCCAGUGGAAAUUAUUCCACUUGGUCAGAUUAGCAGAGUUUAUUUAAAAAAUGAAUUCAUUGUAAGUUCCUUGAAUGCUUGUCACAUAUUUCUCUGCAUCCCACACAGCUAGUUCAUGCUCAGGAAAAGCCAUUGAAAGAAGUACUGUGUUCUGCUAUACGAAGCCCUAGGGAUGGUUCCAGGGGGUGGCACAUGCCUUGCCUGCAGUUUCAGGGUCACAUGCCAACAGUUUCUCCCUGACGGACUGUUCCGUCAUCAUCCCGGCCUCACUCUGGUGGCUCUUCUGUGCCUUCCACAAGCCAGUAACAGUGGUGAACAAAGGCAAGAUAUAAUGCUUUGGCGACAAGGGAGCUAAAGGGACACUGAGAAUUUUAGGAAAUGAACCACGCUUAUGAUUGAAUGUAUCAUCCCUGGAUGAGAAGUCAGGUCAUCUGUAAUAAAGUCCUAACAAGAAGUUAUCUGUCCACCGUGACAAGAUUGGAAUCUGGAAGCUGGAGUAAAAAUAAAGAGGUUUGAGGUGUACCCCUCACCUCUGAGGAUGCCAUUCUGCAUUACUCCUACCCCAGCUCUCAUAACAUAAUCGCCACAUGUCAAAGGGCAGCCCAGGACCUUGCUAUCAAGCAUCCAUCUCAGCGUGCCCUCGGUCUGCUGAUAUGGUAGGUCAGAUUGCGUCCCCAGAUACGCCUUCACAGGAAGAAUGGCUCUGAUUUUACCUUGAAAAGUCUCGUCUUCUGACACUCACGUUAUUAGAGUUUCUACUACAGUUUAUAUAAAAUAGCUUGAUGUACCUUGGACUAAAGAGUCCUAAAAAUAGUUUUGACUUAAGAACGAGCAACGAUACUAAAUAAAUGUCAGAAACAGGGUUAACCGACAGGCGAGCGCUGUCUCAUUGAAUAGUCAGAACGACUUUCUGAAAACUAUACUAAAAUUAUUCCCAGUUUACAGAUAGGUAAACUGAGACAGAGAGGUUACUUUGCUUCUAAUGAGCUGAGUGCUAAAGCUUGACUCUAGCACUGCUGGACACUUAUUCUCUUAAAUGUGUUAAGGUCUCCCAAGAAGAGACACCAAGAUGGUAUUAAAUGUGUCAAGAUUUUUUUAAAAAGGGAAAAUACUUGUGUGAGAGAAAAUGGGGAGAGAAGCCAUGUAAGGCACCCAGAGUGGAGGUGAGAUAGGGAUGGUUGGUGAGAGGGUCUUAGGCUCACAGUCUGGGGGGGCCCUGGGAGCAAAACCAGCUGUCGGAGGAGCCCCAUGCUGCCUAGCUCGGGUCUGCUUUCGUCUGUGGUUGACUGGGAGCCACCAUGACAGCAAGGCCCCUGCAGACAAGCAUCGGAUGAGACUGGAGAGCAGCAGCAGAGUUCCAGGACAGCCAGGCACAGGCUCACUGCCGUACGCUGCCUCCACAAGGCCUCAGGGGAGAGGCCCUCAUCUGGCCUUAAAGUGUGAGAUGUCCCAUCAGAAGGGUUUUCAUUGUCCACGAAGACGGUUCAACACCCACAGCCUGAGUUUCGGGAAUCACUAAUCCUCAGGCCGCAGAAGCAGGGACAUGGCCCCUGGAAGUCAGGGGUCCAGUUUCCAUCAGAAGCUGAGCGGGACCCCGCACCUGGGAAGGAGGACGGAAUCCUUUCCUACAGCAUCCAGAACAGACUCACUGCGGGUAAACCCCUCUGCUUUGGAAGCAUGUUCUUCUGCAGACGGUUUCAUGGAUUUUCUCUAAAGCCUUUGGGAGAGGGGUUUCUUGCGGCCACAUUCCAGAAAGUUCCCCAAAAGGAUGUGCUAUGCCUGGGUCUCAGGAAAACAAGCAGGGAAGUUCCAGGGAUGGCUCCUGGCUGGGCAGGUGCUGCGAACAUACUGGCUUUCACUCUUCCCUUCUUGUAUUUUCCUCUAAUUUUAAUAAUUGAUUUUCCUAAUCAGGGCAACUAAUGCUCUCCCAUAAAUUAAAGCGGGGCAGACCCAUGCCUUUAUUUUGUUGAAACCCGAGGAGAGCCGGCCUUGUUUGCUCACUCUGGCCGCUGUCCUGCAUGUACCCCUCAGGGCUGGGUCAGGUACCAUUCCGUCCACCUUCUGAGCUCUGGCUCCAGCUUAGGCGGUGCACACGGGGCACCCAAUUGUGCCUUGUGAGUGUGCCUACACACGUACACCCACUCAUACAUUUAGAAAUACACAUAACGUACGUGUGUGUGUGUGUGUGUGUGUGUGUGUGUGUGUGUGUAUAUCUGCCACAACUGAAGAUGAAGCCCCCCUUCUCUCUGGCAGAUGUGGGACCACCAGGCAAUUCAUCUGUCCUUUCUAGCCCAUGACCUCCCGACCUCUCUGUGGCUUGCCUGGUGGCCACCCUCAGACCCCAGGACAUCACCCCUGCCUGGCGCCUCACACCUCCCAGGCGCCCAGUGACUUCUUUCUCUUUUCCUCUUUUUGUUUCCUCCUUUCUUGCUUCACCCUGAGAUAUGGAUGUUCCCAAGGGUUUACCCUUGGCUGGCUCUCCUCGCCCUGUGUGCAUUGUCGCUGGAGGACUCCUCCCUGCUAGAAACCUUAGGCAGCCUUGGCUCCCCCUUAUUUUUUGCCAUGCACCUCUGACUUUGUCCUACCAUCAAAAUUCCAACCACUCUGCCACACAAUAGCCUCCCUAUCACUACUCCACUGGCUUAAGG